AGGAUUCCCCUAGUAACGGCGAGUGAAGAGGGAAAAGCUCAAAUUUAAAAUCUGGCGGUCUACGGCCGUCCGAGUUGUAAUCUAGAGAAGUGUUUUCCGCGCUGGACCGUGUACAAGUCCUUUGGAACAAGGCGUCAUAGAGGGUGAGAAUCCCGUCUACGACACGGACUGCCAAGCGCUUUGUGAUACACUCUCAACGAGUCGAGUUGUUUGGGAAUGCAGCUCAAAAUGGGUGGUAAAUUCCAUCUAAAGCUAAAUAUGGGCGAAAGACCGAUAGCGAACAAGUACCGUGAGGGAAAGAUGAAAAGCACUUUGGAAAGAGAGUUAAACAGUACGUGAAAUUGUUGAAAGGGAAACGCUUGAAGUCAGUCGCGUCUUCAGAAAUUCAGCUGGGCUUCUGCCCUGUGUACUUUUCUGUGGGACGGGCCAGCAUCAGUUUCGGCUGCCAGAAAAAGGUGGGAGGAAGGUGGCACCUCCGGGUGUGUUAUAGCCUCCGAUCGUAUGUGGCAGCUGGGACUGAGGACCGCAGCACGCCUUCAUGGCCGGGGUUCGCCCACGUAACGUGCUUAGGAUGCUGGCGUAAUGGCUUUAAGCGACCCGUCUUGAAACACGGACCAAGGAGUCUAACAUGCCUGCGAGUAUUUGGGUGGCAAACCCAUAUGCGCAAUGAAAGUGAACGGUUGGGACUUCUGUCAUGGAAGGCACCGACGCCCGGACCAGACCUAUUGUGACGGAUCCGAGGUAGAGCAUGUAUGUUGGGACCCGAAAGAUGGUGAACUAUGCCUGAGUAGGGUGAAGCCAGAGGAAACUCUGGUGGAGGCUCGUAGCGAUUCUGACGUGCAAAUCGAUCGUCGAACUUGGGUAUAGGGGCGAAAGACUAAUCGAACCAU
RNAcentral lists this ribosomal RNA (890 nucleotides) under Geastrum triplex. RNAcentral describes it as "LSU rRNA". It matches the Rfam family "Eukaryotic large subunit ribosomal RNA", at positions 71 to 943 of the family's 3401-position model. The record is from RNAcentral. Lineage: Eukaryota; Fungi; Basidiomycota; Agaricomycetes; Geastrales; Geastraceae.